AUUGAACGCUGGCGGCAUGCUUUGCACAUGCAAGUCGAACGGUAACAGGUUAAGCUAACGAGUGGCGAACGGGUGAGUAAUACAUCGGAACGUGCCCGAUCGUGGGGGAUAACGAAGCGAAAGCUUUGCUAAUACCGCAUAAGAUCUACGGAUGAAAGCAGGGCACCGCAAGGCCUGGCGGGAACGGAGCGGCCGAUGGCAGAUUAGGUAGUUGGUGGGAUAAAAGCUUACCAAGCCGACGAUCUGUAGCUGGUCUGAGAGGACGACCAGCCACACUGGGACUGAGACACGGCCCAGACUCCUACGGGAGGCAGCAGUGGGGAAUUUUGGACAAUGGGCGAAAGCCUGAUCCAGCCAUGCCGCGUGCAGGAUGAAGGCCUUCGGGUUGUAAACUGCUUUUGUACGGAACGAAAAGACUCUUUCUAAUAAAGAGGGUCCAUGACGGUACCGUAAGAAUAAGCACCGGCUAACUACGUGCCAGCCGCCGCAGUAA
Molecule: ribosomal RNA, 493 nt
Filed under: uncultured bacterium
Lineage: Bacteria
Description: partial 16S ribosomal RNA
Rfam family: Bacterial small subunit ribosomal RNA
Source: RNAcentral